This is a long non-coding RNA of Balaenoptera acutorostrata (minke whale), 4454 nucleotides long. RefSeq lists it as uncharacterized. NCBI's taxonomy places the organism in Eukaryota, Metazoa, Chordata, Mammalia, Artiodactyla, Balaenopteridae. The transcript has 3 exons. The record is from RefSeq and is a predicted model, not a curated record.
GGAGCCCUGGGUGUGCGGAACAGUACUAGUUUAGACGGCUAAGGAUCAGAAUUCGAGAGAACUGGCUUUUUUUGGUGGCGGGGAAGGCGAAGCGCUGCUAGCGCGGCGGGUGGUCAACAGAGGGGCGCAAGGGAGCCGUGUGCGGCUACGAUGGGAGGUGGGCCGGGAGCAGGAAGACGGAAGGCCCGAGUUCCGGAAAGAGGAUGGGGUGGGGGGCGGAGAGCCAAGAGCACCGGAACCGGGAAGCCAAAGCCUGGGUCCCCGAGAGCAAAACCUCGAGCCCACUUGGCUUCCCCACCUCACCCCCGCCUCUAGGUGAGGCAGGACGUCCACUCCUCGGACCCGGAAACUAUUCCCUCGCACACACCGCCCUUCCCGCCGGCCGCCGCCGCUCUGGGCUGCACGUGGACAGAGGGUCUCGGUGACUCGCGACCCCCGCUGCCUCCCUCCGCCAACAGGCCCCGGAGCCCCCAUUCCUCGGGCGACUUCCCUGCGGCAGUGGUUGGGACCCCUUGGAUCGCGACCCGCGCGCUCCCCCUGGCUCCGGACGGUCCCGCCGCCCCCUAGUCACCUCCCUCUCUCCCCACAAAUGCGCCCCCUCUCCGCGCCUUCUCCCUAAAGCCAUUUCCAGCUGCUCUUCCUUCCGAGGCCGGCUAGCCCACCCGCCCAGAUACUGAGUAUUUUACAAAUUGAAGGUUUGUACUGUAGCAACCCUGCACUGAGCAAGUCUACUGGCGCCAUUUUUCCAACAGCAUUUGUUCACUUCAUGCCUCUGUGUCACAUUUUGAUGUGGUAGAAAUGGCAAGAGAACUAGAAUCAGAAGUGGAGCCUGAAGAUGUGACUGAACUGCUGCAAUCUCGCGAUAAAACUUUCAUGGUGAGGAGUUGUUUCUUCUGGAUGAGCAAAGAAAGUGGUUUCUUGAGGUGAGAUCUACUCCUGGUGAAGAUGCUGUGAAGACUCUUGAAAUGACAAGAAAGGAAUGAGAGUAUUACAUAAACUUAGUUGAUAAAGCAGCGGCAGGAUUUGAGGGAAUUGACUCCGAUUUUGAAAGAAGUUCUACUCUGGGUAAAAUGCUAUCCAACAGCAUUGCAGGCUACAGAGAAAUUGUUUGUGAAAGGAAGAGUCAGUCAAUGCAGUCAAUCAUUGUUGUCUUAUUUUAAGAAAUUGACACAGCCAUCCCAACCUUCAGCAACCACGACCCUGAUCAGUCAGCAGCCAUCCACAUCAAGACAGGACCCUCUGCCAGCAAAAGAUUACAAUUACAGGCUCAGAUGAUGGUUAGCAUUUUUUAGCAAUAAAGUAUUUAUAAAUUAAGUGUAUCUCCGAGGUAUGCCUGUACUUGAGAGUAAGAAACAUCAAUCACUUACAUUAUUGUUGUUUUUUUGGCGUGCGCUGAGCAGCGUGAGGGAUCUUUGUUCCCUGACCAGAGAUGGAACCCGCACCCCCUGCAGAGUCUUAACCACUGGACCGCCAGGGAAGUCCCUCACUUACUCUGUUUUAAAAGUGCUUCAUCGCCCCCAGUAUACAGUUACACGUUUAAAGAAAAACUUGUUAAAUUGGAGUUCAGACUUGGCAAGAUUUUGGUUGAAGCCAUAGCUGCUUUGCUUCAGAAGCUUUCCACUGGCGCCAAAGCGACCUCUGGUGGCCAGGGGAGAAAAGGCUGCAUUCAGGAUGCUGGUGUUCAAGCCGGUAAGGCACAGGUGUGCACCCAGGACGCCCUGGUGACGGGCACGUGAGGGCAGCACCUUUGCUCCUGACUGCGUCUGAGCCCUCCUCUGUGUUCAGGGAGACCUGUGUUCACAAAUGCCACAGAGAAGGCGGUACAGUGUAGUGGCCAGGAGCACAGGCAUGGCUGGGGCAAGUGAUUCAACCUUCCUGUGUCUUACCUUCCUCAUCUCUACAGAAGUGCAUGCCAUGAUUAGUACAAUGAAACUUACUUGAGGAACCACCUGGAAAAAAAAAUGAUUUGGAAAACAGAUGGUAUCUCCUUGACAAGUUUCAUUCUGAUAGAAUCUUUUUACCCUUGAGGGAUUUACAAAAUCCAUACUCAUUGCCCACACCUGGGCAGAUAAAUAAUUCCAAUGGGUGAGGUGAACAAGAAAUCUGCAGUUAUGAUAGAUGCAGGCAGAUCUUGUGGAGUUUUCAUCCCUAGAAAUAGAGAGAGGAAGAGUGGCCAAGGAGGGCUGGGUGGGCUUCACACUGUGAGGCUGCAUCACCGUCUUUGUCCUCAAAAUAUCUGAGAAGAAAAGAAGGUAGUGUUAAAUGGGGCACUUCCUGGGGCAAACUCCCUUGGUGGCGAAGAGGCCUUCUGAAGAACUCUUUUCUUCUGAGCCUUCUCAGCAUGUAUGGACAGUGUUUGAAUUACAUCCUGCAGAAUUAAGGCUAUAAUGUGUUCUGCUUUUGGAAGCAUCUUGUGCAAAAAGGAGGCUCUUUUGGUCUCUAAGCAAAUCUGUCACAGAUAGGUAGCUCCUCAACAACUAGCCCAGUGCCUGGCUUUGGUCACAUUUUCAGGGUAUAAGGAGGACAAAAGUUAAAUCUGGAUGCUGGUGUCCUAAAUUCUUGGACUUUUGCCUUCAUGAGCCAGCUACCCUUUAUGAGCCCGAAGCGGGAUCUGUAUGAGAGGAAGGAAGUAUUCCUGCAGGAAGAGGAAUCCUUUAGCCCCAGCUGAAGUUUUGGCCAUAAAUCUCAGCGUAGAAGUAUCUUGUGAGCUGGCUCAGGCUACAUCUAGUUUUUGUGUAUGGGCUCUAAGCCAGCUAGGAAGAGGCAAAGUGGCCUCUCUGGCCUUUUUCCCUGUAGUUCUACAACCAUAUCUUAGUGCUUCAAGGCUUGCCAGUUGCACAGUGAGAAUAGGAAAGGAAAGACGGAGAAGUCAUCGAGGUUAAAGGAGAGCAUCUCUCUCUAAAGCUGAGAGUAGCUUUGGGGAACUACUCAUUCUAGGCCUCGUUCCUCUGGGUCUUGCCCUGGUUCCCACUGGCUUUCUAAGGGGAGAGGAAGACCUUCCUUCUAGGCUUGAUUGCACUUUGGGGCCCCUCUUACUACAUCAGCCUCGUGGGAGAUAAGAAAUCCUGAAUGUAAAGAGAGGAAACCAUAAGGAGAAGGUGUAAUAACCACAUCUCCUUGGAACAUCCUAGUGCGUCGUGUUGGAGGCCCCAAGAAUGCCCCUGGACUGACACUUGAGAGGGAUACAGGAGGGGAAGGGCAGUGAGAAGGCCUUAGUAUGUGUUGAAUGACUGAGGAGGGAGUCAGUGAAUGGAGACCCUUUCUAGAUUUACUCUCCAAAACAUAUAAUCAAAAUUUGCUCCAGGGAAGUCUAACAUAAUUUUAGGGAAAAUUAUAAUGUGAAGCUUCUUUCAGUUCAAUGUCUAAAAAUCUAUCUUUAUUCAUGGCAGUGGGGUUAUUCAGGAAAGUUGUGAAGGCUUUUUUAAACUUCAGAAAAAGUAGGAUUCUUACCAGGCAAGAUGAUCACCUUUGAUUGUUUUGUACCAUUUGAAAAUGUUGGUGUUACCAACAUAAUCACAUUCUUGCGGGAUUAGGAGAUGCUUAAAAGAUACUUAGUCCCAUUGCUAAGAAGUUAUCUUAUGCAUAUACGAGCACGUGUGCACUGGGAUAAAUGUGCAAGGAUGUCCGUCUCAGCAUUGUUGGUAACAACAAUGACAUUUUUUUAAAAAGCCAUGAAACAACCAAAACGUCAAUCAGUGAUCCACUUUUACCCUUUCAAACUGUUUGAAUGUCUUAGUAUGAGCAGGUGUUCCUUGUCAUUUAAAAAAAAUCACCUCUACCCUGACUGCUGACUCAUCCCCACCAAGAGGUCAUCCUGGCUGUCCUUGAACACUUCCAGUGAUGGAGAACUCACUACCGCUUAACUAUCAGACAAUGUUUUGAUCAAGAGCCUCUGGACAAUAAUUAGUUCCUAUUAAGACAUGAUCUAGGUUUCCAGGGGGGGCCUGCAUCUCUCAGUCCCAUCUUCAGGGCUCUGGAGCUGGAUAGCACGCAAUUUUGACAGCUAGUUCUUGGUAUUUUUUCCAUUUAAAAAUUAUUUUUGAAUAUACGAAUGGAAAAUAAUUGGGGGAAGUAUGUCCUCUGGCAAAAGCCUUCAAGAUACUGGAAGAAGACAAUAAAGGACUGUUCAGGAUAAGAUUUUAAGGAGGAUAUUAAAAAUCUAUGUAGGGGCUUCCCUGGUGGCACAGUGGUUAAGAAUCCAUCUGCCAAUGCAAGGGACACAGGUUCGAGCCCUGGUCUGGGAAGAUCCCACAUGCCACGGAGAGACUAAGCCCAUGUGCCACAACUACUGAGCCUGCGCUCUAGAGCCCACGAACCACAACUACUGAGCCUGUGCGCCUAGAACCUGUGCUCCGCAACAAGAGAAGCCACUGCGAUGAGAAGCCUGCGCACUGCAACAAAGAGUAAACCCCGCUCGCCACAACUAGAGAAAGCCCGUGUGCAGCAACGAAGAC